GGGUGGGCUAGGCGGGGGCUACCCCUCCCCGAACCGCAAAUGGGGUUACGGCGGGCCGAAGCCCAGAGGAGGGUGUCCGGAAGCCCGUUGAAGGGACGGAUGCUCCCGUGGAGGUCCCGCCCCACAGGGUCGGCGGAGGCGGGGCCCAAACCGUAGGGUUUGGGUGAACCGCCCUUACCUGUCGAACCCGGCCAGGCCCGGAAGGGAGCAACCGUAGGCAGGACGUUCGGCGCUUGUGGGUAACGGGGCUGAGGGAAGGCCGUUCCUAGACGGGUGGAAGGCGCUCGAAUCUGGGAGCCCACCC
Molecule: signal recognition particle RNA, 304 nt
Filed under: Hadesarchaea archaeon
Lineage: Archaea; Methanobacteriati; Hadarchaeota (SeqCode); Hadarchaeia (SeqCode)
Also listed under: 1 other name
Description: signal recognition particle sRNA
Rfam family: Archaeal signal recognition particle RNA
Source: RNAcentral